This 185-nucleotide non-coding RNA is filed under the name uncultured Mailhella sp. The record is from RNAcentral. Lineage: Bacteria; Pseudomonadati; Thermodesulfobacteriota; Desulfovibrionia; Desulfovibrionales; Desulfovibrionaceae.
CGGCCCCUGUUCUGGGCUGGUGAAAAAGGGAAUCCGGAGUUUCCGCACAGCAUGCUGUGCGGAAGAAGCCGGAGCUGUCCCCGCAGCUGUGAUCGGCGAGUCCCGUCAUGAUGCCACUGGUUCCUGCCGGAGCCGGGAAGGCGACAGGGGUGAAGACCCGAGAGCCAGAAGACCUGCCAUGUCUG